UGAGGAAUAUUGCACAAUGGGCGCAAGCCUGAUGCAGCAACGCCGCGUGAGGGACGAAGGCCUUCGGGUCGUAAACCUCUUUUCUGAGGGACGAGUAAGGACGGUACCCCAGGAAUAAGUCUCGGCUAACUACGUGCCAGCAGCCGCGGUAAAACGUAGGAGGCGAGCGUUAUCCGGAUUUACUGGGCGUAAAGCGUACGCAGGUGGCUUCGUUAGUCGGACAUGAAAGCUCCUGGCUUAACUGGGAGAGGUUGUUCGAUACUGCGGGGCUUGAGGUUGGGAGAGGGACGUGGAAUUCCCGGUGUAGUGGUGGAAUGCGUAGAUAUCAGGAGGAACACCAGUGGCGCAAGCGGCGUCCUGGCCCACACCUGACGCUGAGGUACGAAAGCGUGGGUAGCAAACAG
RNAcentral lists this ribosomal RNA (404 nucleotides) under uncultured bacterium. RNAcentral's name for it is "bacterial SSU rRNA". It matches the Rfam family "Bacterial small subunit ribosomal RNA", at positions 355 to 775 of the family's 1533-position model. The record is from RNAcentral.